GAUCAUGGCUCAGAUUGAACGCUGGCGGCAUGCUUUACACAUGCAAGUCGAACGGUAACAGGGAGCUUGCUCCGCUGACGAGUGGCGAACGGGUGAGUAAUGCAUCGGAACGUGCCCAGUCGUGGGGGAUAACGCAGCGAAAGCUGUGCUAAUACCGCAUACGAUCUAUGGAUGAAAGCGGGGGACCGUAAGGCCUCGCGCGAUUGGAGCGGCCGAUGUCAGAUUAGCUAGUUGGUGGGGUAAAGGCCCACCAAGGCGACGAUCUGUAGCUGGUCUGAGAGGACGACCAGCCACACUGGAACUGAGACACGGUCCAGACUCCUACGGGAGGCAGCAGUGGGGAAUUUUCCGCAAUGGGCGAAAGCCUGACGGAGCAAUACCGCGUGAGGGAAGAAUGCCUAUGGGUUGUAAACCUCUUUUUUCAGGGAGGAAUAAAAUGACGUGUACCUGAAGAAUAAGCAUCGGCUAACUCCGUG
Molecule: ribosomal RNA, 476 nt
Filed under: uncultured bacterium
Lineage: Bacteria
Description: bacterial SSU rRNA
Rfam family: Bacterial small subunit ribosomal RNA
Source: RNAcentral